GUCCUAUACUGCACAAGACAGCUUCCGUUCGACCUCAGUAAUCCAAACUACUCCUUCAACCUGCAGGUUUUUAAGCAUGACUGCACUCAUGGUCAUCAACAUGGAGGGGAGCUGUGACAUCCCAGACUGACCUUCAGCUCAGAGGCGAGCCAGGUAUAGCAUCAUUUUUUUUUUUUUUAAGCUUUGGAUCUUAAAUCGAGAAAAAGGUCACCAUCAGAGCUUAGAAUUUAUAAGGCUAAUCACAGAGAAGCCGAUCAGAUCUUCUGCAGUCCGUGAAUGACACCAGGCUCAGGAGGUCAGUCCUAUUGGGUGACGAUGAUAGGAUUUCGUGAGAAUCCGACACAAAGGACUCAGAGGCAGAUCGAACCACCGAAAGCUCAGACUGUUAGACCACGGGGGGACCUUCCUGUGUGGCCUGCGGACACCGGCCGCACUUUGCCAGUCGGGCAGUGGCACAGCCUACGUGCAAGCGGCCCCAGCGCAUGUCUCAUAGGUAGGGCUGGGUGUCAGGGACGGGGGCG
This 521-nucleotide long non-coding RNA is filed under the name Vulpes vulpes (red fox). RNAcentral's name for it is "lncRNA (ENSVVUG00000000389.1)". The record is from RNAcentral. Lineage: Eukaryota; Metazoa; Chordata; Mammalia; Carnivora; Canidae.